GACGAACGCUGGCGGCGUGCUUAACACAUGCAAGUCGAACGGAAAGGCCCUGCUUUUGUGGGGUGCUCGAGUGGCGAACGGGUGAGUAACACGUGAGUAACCUGCCCUUGACCUUGGGAUAACUUCAGGAAACUGGGGCUAAUACCGGAUAGGAGCUCCUGCUGCAUGGUGGGGGUUGGAAAGUUUCGGCGGUUGGGGAUGGACUCGCGGCUUAUCAGCUUGUUGGUGGGGUAGUGGCUUACCAAGGCUUUGACAGGUAGCCGGCCUGAGAGGGUGACCGGCCACAUUGGGACUGAGAUACGGCCCAGACUCCUACGGGAGGCAGCAGUGGGGAAUAUUGCACAAUGGGCGGAAGCCUGAUGCAGCAACGCCGCGUGCGGGAUGACGGCCUUCGGGUUGUAAACCGCUUUCGCCUGUGACGAAGCGUGAGUGACGGUAAUGGGUAAAGAAGCACCGGCUAACUACGUG
This 468-nucleotide ribosomal RNA is filed under the name uncultured bacterium. RNAcentral's name for it is "partial 16S ribosomal RNA". It matches the Rfam family "Bacterial small subunit ribosomal RNA", at positions 28 to 507 of the family's 1533-position model. The record is from RNAcentral.